AAACUGAGGAUAAUACUGGAUAGGCAAUUAUUCCUGCAAUGGGUUUUUGUUUAAAUGUUUUUUCGCCUAAGGAUGGGUCUGCGGCCGAUUAGGUAGUUGGUUAGGUAAUGGCUUACCAAGCCGUUGAUCGGUACGGGUUGUGAGAGCAAGAGCCCGGAGAUGGAACCUGAGACAAGGUUCCAGGCCCUACGGGGUGCAGCAGGCGCGAAACCUCCGCAAUGUGAGAAAUCGCGACGGGGGGAUCCCAAGUGCCAUUCUUAACGGGAUGGCUUUUCAUUAGUGUAAAGAGCUUUUGGAAUAAGGGCUGGGCAAGACCGGUGCCAGCCGCCGCGGUAACACCGGCAGCUCUAGUGGUAGCAGUUUUUAUUGGGCCUAAAGCGUCCGUAGCCGGUUUAAUAAGUCUCUGGUGAAAUCCUGUAGCUUAACUGUGGGAAUUGCUGGAGAUACUAUUAGACUUGAGACCGGGAGAGGUUAGAGGUACUCCCAGGGUAGAGGUGAAAUUCUGUAAUCCUGGGAGGACCGCCUGUUGCGAAGGCGUCUAACUGGAACGGUUCUGACGGUGAGGGACGAAAGUUAGGGGCGCGAACCGGAUUAGAUACCCGGGUAGUCCUAACCGUAAACGAUGCGGACUUGGUGUUGGGGUGGCUUUGAGCUGCUCCAGUGCCGAAGGGAAGCUGUUAAGUCCGCCGCCUGGGAAGUACGGUCGCAAGACUGAAACUUAA
This 722-nucleotide ribosomal RNA is filed under the name uncultured archaeon. Its description in RNAcentral is "bacterial SSU rRNA". It matches the Rfam family "Archaeal small subunit ribosomal RNA", at positions 137 to 859 of the family's 1478-position model. The record is from RNAcentral.